CUGAAGAAACUGACUCUGGCUGUAGCUGGCUCCUCGGAGUAUGUGCUCGCCUUAGUCGCUUUUUCUACUUUCCACUGUGCACCUUUGUAGGCUCACGACGUAUAAGUAGUAGGCUCGCUGCAAAGCUUGUCUUCGACUUGUCGCGGGAUCUACGUUUACACACACUCUUACAAAGUCCAGAAUGUCUCUUUGUUGGUCUUUAGACCGAUAAAACUUGUA
This 219-nucleotide unclassified non-coding RNA is filed under the name uncultured Clitocybe. RNAcentral's name for it is "sequence contains ITS1". Lineage: Eukaryota; Fungi; Basidiomycota; Agaricomycetes; Agaricales; Tricholomataceae. The record is from RNAcentral.